Molecule: unclassified non-coding RNA, 220 nt
Filed under: Carlosrosaea sp.
Lineage: Eukaryota; Fungi; Basidiomycota; Tremellomycetes; Tremellales; Trimorphomycetaceae
Description: partial contains 5.8S ribosomal RNA, internal transcribed spacer 2, and large subunit ribosomal RNA
Source: RNAcentral
CGCACCUUGCGCCCUCUGGUAUUCCGGAGGGCAUGCCUGUUUGAGUGUCAUGUUAAUCUCACCUCAAGGUUUCUUGAGCGUGGACUUGGGGGUGGCAUUUGGCCUCCCCUUAAAAGCGUUAGCGACAAACGAUGUAAUAAGUUUCAUCCGAAGCCGCUCACAAAGCCCAAUUAUUUUAUGACUAGACCUCAAAUCAGGUAGGACUACCCGCUGAACUUAA